Molecule: long non-coding RNA, 277 nt
Filed under: Fukomys damarensis (Damara mole-rat)
Lineage: Eukaryota; Metazoa; Chordata; Mammalia; Rodentia; Bathyergidae
Description: lncRNA (ENSFDAG00000021710.1)
Source: RNAcentral
GCCAACUAACAUUGUGAUCUCUACAGGUCAGCAUUAAGUCCAAACGUUUUUAGAAGAGCUAAGCCUGCAGGACUUCCGAGAGCCAUAGAGUUUCACCUCAAGAGUACAGUGACAACCCAGUAUCUAACUCACACAAAGUAGGAGAAAAUCCUUGAUAAAUAUUUAACAACUGAGCAAGUGAAUGAAUAUUAAUGAUGAUCCAAAGCCUACACCAAAACUUUAAGUGACAAAAAGGUAAUUUCAGUCCCCCAGAGGAGGAGUAGAAACCGCACAGCAC